GAUCGCCUAGGGACGCAGCAGUGGGGAAUAUUGCACAAUGGGGGGAACCCUGAUGCAGCAAUGCCGCGUGGGUGAAGAAGCACUCCGGUGCGUAAAGCCCUGUCAGCAGGGAAGAAAAUGACAGUACCUGGACAAGAAGCCCCGGCUAACUACGUGCCAGCAGCCGCGGUAAUACGUAGGGGGCAAGCGUUAUCCGGAUUUACUGGGUGUAAAGGGAGCGCAGGCGGCGUGGCAAGUCAGAUGUGAAAACCCGGGGCCCAACUCCGUACUGCCGUUGAAACUGCAUCCCUUGAGUGCGCGAGAAG
RNAcentral lists this ribosomal RNA (305 nucleotides) under uncultured bacterium. Its description in RNAcentral is "bacterial SSU rRNA". It matches the Rfam family "Bacterial small subunit ribosomal RNA", at positions 333 to 657 of the family's 1533-position model. The record is from RNAcentral.